This 544-nucleotide ribosomal RNA is filed under the name Diaporthe sp. RNAcentral describes it as "partial large subunit ribosomal RNA". It matches the Rfam family "Eukaryotic large subunit ribosomal RNA", at positions 86 to 655 of the family's 3401-position model. The record is from RNAcentral. Lineage: Eukaryota; Fungi; Ascomycota; Sordariomycetes; Diaporthales; Diaporthaceae.
ACGGCGAGUGAAGCGGCAACAGCUCAAAUUUGAAAUCUGGCCUCGGCCCGAGUUGUAAUUUGCAGAGGAUGCUUCUGGCGCGGUGCCUUCCGAGUUCCCUGGAACGGGACGCCACAGAGGGUGAGAGCCCCGUAUGGUCGGACACCAAGCCUGUGUGAAGCUCCUUCGACGAGUCGAGUAGUUUGGGAAUGCUGCUCUAAAUGGGAGGUAAAUCUCUUCUAAAGCUAAAUACCGGCCAGAGACCGAUAGCGCACAAGUAGAGUGAUCGAAAGAUGAAAAGCACCUUGAAAAGGGGGUUAAAUAGUACGUGAAAUUGUUGAAAGGGAAGCACUUAUGACCAGACUUGGGCCGGGCGGCUCAUCAGGGGUUCUCCCCUGUGCACUCCGCCCGGCACAGGCCAGCAUCGGUUCUCGUGGGGGGAUAAGACCGUCAGGAACGUAGCACCCUCCGGGGUGUGUUAUAGCCUGGCGGACGAUACCCCCGUGGGGACCGAGGUCCGCGCUCCGCAAGGAUGCUGGCGUAAUGGUCAUCAGUGACCCGUCUU